This 824-nucleotide ribosomal RNA is filed under the name uncultured bacterium. RNAcentral describes it as "bacterial SSU rRNA". It matches the Rfam family "Bacterial small subunit ribosomal RNA", at positions 24 to 803 of the family's 1533-position model. The record is from RNAcentral.
UCAGGAUGAACGCUGGCGGCAUGCCUAAGACAUGCAAGUCGAACGAGGUGGCCCAUAGAAGAGGAAGUGCUUGCACGGAAUCGGAAAUGGAUUCCCACCUAGUGGCGGACGGGUGAGUAACACGUGGAUAAUCUACCUUUAAGACGGGGACAACAGUUGGAAACGACUGCUAAUACCGGAUAUGACAUAGUUUGAUAACAAGCUAUGUUGAAAGGGAGCUUUCAAGCUUCGCUUAAAGAUGAGUCUGCGCUGUAUUAGUUAGUUGGUGGGGUAAUGGCCUACCAAGACAACGAUGCAUAGCCGAGCUGAGAGGCUGAUCGGCCACAUUGGGACUGAGACACGGCCCAAACUCCUACGGGAGGCAGCAGUUAGGAAUAUUCGUCAAUGGGGGAAACCCUGAACGAGCAAUGCCGCGUGAGUGAUGACGGUCCUUUGGAUUGUAAAACUCUGUUGUAAAGGAAGAAUCGCAAAGAUAGGAAAUGAUCUUUGUUUGACGGUACUUUACCAGAAAGCCCCGGCUAACUACGUGCCAGCAGCCGCGGUAAUACGUAGGGGGCGAGCGUUAUCCGGAUUUAUUGGGCGUAAAGCGUGUGUAGGCGGUUUGUUAAGUCUGAAAUAAAAGCCCGAGGCUCAACUUCGGUUCGUUUCAGAAACUGGCAGACUUGAGUGUGGUAGAGGCAAGUGGAAUUUCUAGUGUAGCGGUAAAAUGCGUAGAUAUUAGAAGGAACACCAGUGGCGAAGGCGACUUGCUGGGCCAUUACUGACGCUGAGACACGAAAGCGUGGGGAGCAAAUAGGAUUAGAUACCCUAGUAGUCCACGCCGU